AGCGAACGUUAGCGGCGGGCCUAACACAUGCAAGUCGAACGCGAAAGGUCUUCGGACUGAGUAGAGUGGCGCACGGGUGAGUAACACGUAGGUAAUCUACCCUUUGGCGGGGGAUAACGUUCCGAAAGGAGCGCUAAUACCGCAUAAGACCACGGAGUCUCCGGACGCUGUGGGAAAAGGUGGCCUCUUCUUGAAAGCUACCACCGAAGGAUGAGCCUGCGUCCCAUCAGCUAGUUGGUAAGGUAAUGGCUUACCAAGGCGAAGACGGGUAGCUGGUUUGAGAGAAUGAUCAGCCACACUGGCACUGGAACACGGGCCAGACUCCUACGGGAGGCAGCAGUGAGGAAUAUUGGGCAAUGGGCGAAAGCCUGACCCAGCCACGCCGCGUGAGUGAUGAAGGCCUCGGGUCGUAAAGCUCUGUGGAGAGGGACGAAAACCCUGGUUUCAAAUAGGCUCCAGGCUUGACGGUACCUCUUUAGCAAGCACCGGCUAACUCUGUGCAGCAGCCGACGG
RNAcentral lists this ribosomal RNA (513 nucleotides) under uncultured bacterium. RNAcentral describes it as "bacterial SSU rRNA". It matches the Rfam family "Bacterial small subunit ribosomal RNA", at positions 29 to 520 of the family's 1533-position model. The record is from RNAcentral.